RNAcentral lists this ribosomal RNA (253 nucleotides) under uncultured prokaryote. RNAcentral describes it as "partial 16S ribosomal RNA". It matches the Rfam family "Bacterial small subunit ribosomal RNA", at positions 525 to 777 of the family's 1533-position model. The record is from RNAcentral.
ACGAAGGGUGCAAGCGUUACUCGGAAUUACUGGGCGUAAAGCGUGCGUAGGUGGUUUGUUAAGUCUGCUGUGAAAGCCCCGGGCUCAACCUGGGAAUGGCAGUGGAUACUGGCAAGCUAGAGUGCGGUAGAGGGGUGUGGAAUUCCCGGUGUAGCGGUGAAAUGCGUAGAGAUCGGGAGGAACAUCAGUGGCGAAGGCGGCCAUCUGGGACAACACUGACGCUGAAGCACGAAAGCGUGGGGAGCAAACAGGA